ACCCGCGACAAGCAGCGGAGCAUGUGGUUUAAUUUCGAAGCAACGCGAAGAACCUUACCAGAUCUUGACAUCCAAUUGACCAUCUUUUAAUCGUAGAUUUUGCCUUCGGGUACAAUUGAGACAGGUGAUGCAUGGUUGUCGUCAGCUCGUGUCGUGAGAUGUUGGGUUAAGUCCCGCAACGAGCGCAACCCUUGUGUUUAGUUUGCAAACAGGUCAAGCUGUGCACUCUAGACAGACUGCCGUGGACAACACGGAGGAAGUGGGGAUGACGUCAAGUCCUCAUGGCCCUUACGGGCUGGGCUACACACGUGCUACAAUGGUGGUGACAGUGGGCAGCGAGCACGCGAGUGUGAGCUAAUCUCCAAAAGCCAUCUCAGUUCGGAUUGCACUCUGCAACUCGAGUGCAUGAAGUUGGAAUCGCUAGUAAUCGCGGAUCAGCAUGCCGCGGUGAAUACGUUCCCGGGCCUU
RNAcentral lists this ribosomal RNA (468 nucleotides) under uncultured Rhizobiaceae bacterium. RNAcentral's name for it is "bacterial SSU rRNA". It matches the Rfam family "Bacterial small subunit ribosomal RNA", at positions 919 to 1382 of the family's 1533-position model. The record is from RNAcentral. Lineage: Bacteria; Pseudomonadati; Pseudomonadota; Alphaproteobacteria; Hyphomicrobiales; Rhizobiaceae.